UUAACACAUGCAAGUCGAGGGGUAGGUUACUUCGGUAAUUGAGACCGGCGCACGGGUGCGUAACGCGUAUACAAUCUACCUUUUACAGAGGAUAGCCCAGAGAAUUUGGAUUAAUACCUCAUAGUAUUUUUGAAUCGCAUGAUUUGAUUAUUAAAGUUCCAACGGUAAAAGAUGAGUAUGCGUCCCAUUAGCUAGAUGGUAAGGUAACGGCUUACCAUGGCUACGAUGGGUAGGGGUCCUGAGAGGGAGAUCCCCCCACACUGGUACUGAGACACGGACCAGACUCCUACGGGAGGCAGCAGUGAGGAAUAUUGGACAAUGGGCGCAAGCCUGAUCCAGCCAUGCCGCGUGCAGGAAGAAGGUCCUAUGGAUUGUAAACUGCUUUUAUACAGGAAGAAACACUCCCUCGUGAGGGAACUUGACGGUACUGUAUGAAUAAGGACCGGCUAACUCCGUG
This 457-nucleotide ribosomal RNA is filed under the name uncultured bacterium. RNAcentral describes it as "bacterial SSU rRNA". It matches the Rfam family "Bacterial small subunit ribosomal RNA", at positions 48 to 507 of the family's 1533-position model. The record is from RNAcentral.